GUGUUGGGAAGUGAGAAUGCAGGCAUAAGUAACAAUAACCCUGAUGAAAAUUCAGGGCGCCGAAAACCCAAGGUUUCCUGGGCAACGCGAAUCGUCCCAGGGUUAGUCGAUCCUAAGGUGAGGCCGAAAGGCGUAGCCGAUGGAAGAGCAGGUUAAUAUUCCUGCACUGUAUAUAGUUUGAUUUUUGUUGCACAUUUCCAAGCUUUAAGCGUGUUUUGGUUAUACGCGUCCCGCAAGGGAAAGACAAAGCCUACGGGUAGAGUCAAUUUAAGGGAAGGGAAUGUCUAGAAAAGAUAAAAAUCGUUAAGCUAUAUGUAUUCGUACCGCAAACCGACUCAGGUGGGUAAGUCGAGUAGACUAAGGCGUACGAGAGAACCCUCGUUUAGGAACUCUGCAAUACAGCGGCCGUAACUUCGGGAUAAGGCCUUCCCGACUUUUAGUCGGGAUACAACAAAAGACGCACUGCGACUGUUUACCAAAAACACAGCUCCCUGCAAAAGCGCAAGCUGAAGUAUAGGGGGUGAUGCCUGGCCAGUGUCAGAACGUUAAGGGGAGAGGUUCGUCCCGAUUUAUCGGGACAAAGCCUUGAUCCGAAGCGCUGAUGAACGCCGGCGGUAACUAUAACCGUCCUAAGGUAGCGAAAUUCCUUGUCGGGUGAGUUCCGACCCGCACGAAUGGCAUAACGAUAGUGCGACUGUCUCAACGAGGGACUCGGUGAAAUUGCAAGGGAGGUGAAGAUGCCUCCUACCCGCAACUAGACGAAAAGACCCCGUGAAUCUUUACUACAACUUGAUAUUGGCAUAAGGUUAAAUAUGUUGAGCGUAGGUGGGAGCCUUCGGGCACCAGUGAGAUACCACCCUUAUGUUGUGAUGUGUCUAAUCUUCCGGUCUGAAUCGGCUGGAGGAGACAGUGUCUGAUGGGUAGUUUAACUGGGGCGGUUGCCUCCCAAAUUAUAACGGAGGCGUUUACAAAGGUUGGCUUAUCCCGGAUGGAAAUCGGGAUGGACGUGCAAACGCAUAAGCCAGCUUUACUGCAAGGGUUACAGCCCGAGCAGUUGCGAAAGCAGAAGUUAGUGAUC
Molecule: ribosomal RNA, 1078 nt
Filed under: Candidatus Woesebacteria bacterium
Lineage: Bacteria; Candidatus Woeseibacteriota
Description: partial 23S ribosomal RNA
Rfam family: Bacterial large subunit ribosomal RNA
Source: RNAcentral